Molecule: ribosomal RNA, 253 nt
Filed under: uncultured bacterium
Lineage: Bacteria
Description: partial 16S ribosomal RNA
Rfam family: Bacterial small subunit ribosomal RNA
Source: RNAcentral
UACGAAGGGGGCUAGCGUUGUUCGGAAUCACUGGGCGUAAAGCGCACGUAGGCGGAUCUUUAAGUCAGGGGUGAAAUCCUGGAGCUCAACUCCAGAACUGCCUUUGAUACUGGGGAUCUCGAGUUCGGGAGAGGUGAGUGGAACUGCGAGUGUAGAGGUGAAAUUCGUAGAUAUUCGCAAGAACACCAGUGGCGAAGGCGGCUCACUGGCCCGAUACUGACGCUGAGGUGCGAAAGCGUGGGGAGCAAACAGG